CCCGCACAAGCGGUGGAGCAUGUGGUUUAAUUCGACGCAACGCGAAGAACCUUACCUAGGUUUGACAUGCAUUGGACCGGCUGUGAAAGCAGUCUUCCCUUCGGGGCCGAUGCACAGGUGCUGCAUGGCUGUCGUCAGCUCGUGUCGUGAGAUGUUGGGUUAAGUCCCGCAACGAGCGCAACCCUUACCCUUUGUUGCUACCGGGUCAUGCCGGGCACUCUGAGGGGACUGCCCCGGUUAACGGGGAGGAAGGUGGGGAUGACGUCAAGUCCUCAUGGCCUUUAUGCCUAGGGCUACACACGUGCUGCAAUGGUCAGGACAAAGGGCUGCUACGUCGCAAGGCGUUGCCAAUCCCAAAAACCUGGCCCCAGUUCGGAUGGUCGGCUGCAACUCGCCGGCUUGAAGCUGGAAUCGCUAGUAAUCGGAGAUCAGCACGCUCCGGUGAAUACGUUCCCGGGCCUUGUACACACCGCCCGUCACACCACGAAAGCUGCGUGUACCAGAAUCACUGAGCUAACCCGCAAGGGAGGCAGUCCGAAGUUCGGUAUUG
This 550-nucleotide ribosomal RNA is filed under the name uncultured bacterium. RNAcentral describes it as "bacterial SSU rRNA". It matches the Rfam family "Bacterial small subunit ribosomal RNA", at positions 920 to 1471 of the family's 1533-position model. The record is from RNAcentral.